This 99-nucleotide ribosomal RNA is filed under the name uncultured eukaryote. RNAcentral's name for it is "partial 18S ribosomal RNA". The record is from RNAcentral.
GACUGAGUAGCGUCGGGAUAGGGCGGAGUCCACAGGCAACUGCUUUUCGGAUGAGAUGCAAAGUAAGCGGUGAGGGAUGCCACGACUGGUGUCCUUGGG